RNAcentral lists this ribosomal RNA (216 nucleotides) under Pachyprotasis sp. YI-2013. RNAcentral describes it as "partial 16S ribosomal RNA". Lineage: Eukaryota; Metazoa; Arthropoda; Insecta; Hymenoptera; Tenthredinidae. The record is from RNAcentral.
ACUGUCUUUAUUUAAUUAAAAUUUUAAUUUAAUUUUUAAGUUAAAAAGCUUAAAUAAUUUUAAAGGACGAGAAGACCCUAUAGAGUUUUAUAAUUUAUUAUAGAAAAAAACUAAAUAAUUUUUUAUUUUAAUAAAUUAUUUUAUUGGGGCGAUAAAAAAAUUUAUUAAACUUUUUAACUUAAAUUUCAUUAAUUUAUGAAUUUAUGAUCCUUUAUA